Molecule: ribosomal RNA, 474 nt
Filed under: uncultured organism
Description: partial 16S ribosomal RNA
Rfam family: Bacterial small subunit ribosomal RNA
Source: RNAcentral
GUACACUCCUGCGGGAGGCAGCAGUGGGGAAUUUUGGACAAUGGGCGAAAGCCUGAUCCAGCAAUGCCGCGUGAGUGAAGAAGGCCUUCGGGUUGUAAAGCUCUUUUGUCAGGGAAGAAACGGUGAGAGCUAAUAUCUCUUGCUAAUGACGGUACCUGAAGAAUAAGCACCGGCUAACUACGUGCCAGCAGCCGCGGUAAUACGUAGGGUGCAAGCGUUAAUCGGAAUUACUGGGCGUAAAGCGUGCGCAGGCGGUUUUGUAAGUCUGAUGUGAAAUCCCCGGGCUCAACCUGGGAAUUGCAUUGGAGGCUGCAAGGCUAGAAUCUGGCAGAGGGGGGUAGAAUUCCACGUGUAGCAGUGAAAUGCGUAGAUAUGUGGAGGAACACCGAUGGCGAAGGCAGCCCCCUGGGUCAAGAUUGACGCUCAUGCACGAAAGCGUGGGGAGCAAACAGGAUUAGAAACCCUGGUAGUCCC